GCUCUCUCCGAGAAUUCAAUUAAAACGGAGGCUCUGAGCUGCUGGCGGCGGCUGUUGCUCCACCGGGGAGUUUCAGUUAACACACUCUUCUUGCAGCCAUCGGAAAGUCUUAGGUUUUCUGAGAAUGCAUCAUGUAAAGAAGGACUUGAAGGAACAGGGGAGAUUGUGGGAGUCUGUAAGAGAGCUCGUUCUAGGCAGGAAGCAGAAGGAGCCGAGGGAGACGUUUACCUGACUGCUGCAGGGGUAGUAUAUUGGCUGGCACAGCGGCAUAGGAUGAAUGGAGAAGACAUUCGCAUAAACCCAUGGAGCAAACUAACAAUGUGUGCGAUUUUCGGUGGUGUCGGGUUCCUUAUGAUGCUCUUGGCAGGAUGUGAGCCACCAAUGAAGAAGACAAGGAUGUGGGUGGUGGCUCGAGCCAGAGUUCCCAUCAGCGGUGGAAGUCACCCUGGUGUACCCUGGUGUCCCAGUCCUCACCGUUAUUAACUCCACUGGUUGUAGCCGUCACAUCUUUGGCAUUGGAACUGAAGCACCGAAGAUAAUUUCUACUUUCUCCACCGUCUAACUUUCAGUUUUAAGGGGAACUUGUCAUAUGUAAAAAAAAACAAAAAAUUGUAAAUGUUUCUUUGUGGGCAUCUUUUUACAUUUGUUUCUUUCUUCCUGGAAUCAUAUUUAGUGGCCUUAUGAUAAGCAAGAAGAGGUGAUGUUUCCAAAGAUUAUAAUUAUAGAAAAAACGGAGUGUUGGCACAGGCCUGUAAUCUGAGCAGUUGGAAGGUUUGAAGUUCAAGGUCUUCUUCAGCUUCGCAGUGAGUCAGGUCAGGGGCUAGGCUGCCAUACUUGAGACCCUGUCCCACAUUUAGAAAAGGAAAACUCAAAGAAAUAGAAAUAUCCAAAUCUCCCAUUUUUCCCAAGGGGCAGAUGGUAGAUUUCCUUAGCAGAACAUACACCUUCCCAGAGAGAACAAGAUUCAAUGAACGUGUAAAUAGUAUCUUGUUUUCUUUCUUUCUUUACUAAAAUGAUACACCCAGCACAUUUUCAGUUUGGUAACUUUCAUUUUGGUUUUUAGUUAAUGUUGUUUUAUUAGCUUCUAUCCCUUGCACCGCAUUGAGAUCCAUCACACUGUUAUCCAAAUUUCUGCUGUACUGGGAACAUCCUGAUCACUACCCCUAACGCCCCUGACCAUCUUCACUUGGCUAAUUUCUAAAUUGGUAACUAAUUACAUGCAGAUAAUUAAAGAAUAAGCAAGAGUUCCCACCGUUAGGUAAAGUUGGGGGCAUGAUGUUAAGAAAGAGAAAGCCAAUUUCAAAUCUCGAUUGUUUGGAACAAAAUUUCAAAGUUAAAAGUAUCACGAGGCAAAAAUUCCAAGUAUUAGAAUUAUACUCAGUAGUUUCAUUUCCCUUGUGAAAUUUUAUUUUAAGAGAAUAAAAUGUGGCCCAUAAAGGUAUCUGAUCUCUCAGUGUGCCUUAUGCUUCAUAUAAAUCAAAUCCAGAAAAUAAGUGGGGCAUAUGUAAAAUGAAACCUUAAACAUACCUGGGACCAUCUUUUGCGAGGCACCGAUUGCUGCGUUAUCAAUUUUUUCUUGGAGCGUUUAUUAAAGAAUAUCUUUUGUUUUAAUUUGCCCCACACAAAGCAGCUUAGAGACAUUUACAGAGACGAAGAGGGAGCUUCAAUUAACCUUGGCUGCCGAGAUAUUUUAUGUGCAUGUAUUAUGCUACAACAGGGUAAUUACCUAAUACCUUUUGUGAAGGAAUUCUAAUAAAGAAUGAAAUUGAUUUAUACAUAAUG
RNAcentral lists this long non-coding RNA (1782 nucleotides) under Mus musculus (house mouse). RNAcentral describes it as "predicted gene, 31135". Lineage: Eukaryota; Metazoa; Chordata; Mammalia; Rodentia; Muridae. The record is from RNAcentral.